ACUCCUACGGGAGGCAGCAGUGAGGAAUAUUGGUCAAUGGGCGAGAGCCUGAACCAGCCAAGUAGCGUGCAGGAUGACGGCCCUAUGGGUUGUAAACUGCUUUUAUGCGGGGAUAACGUGCGCCACGCGUGGUGUAUUGCAGGUACCGCAUGAAUAAGGACCGGCUAAUUCCGUGCCAGCAGCCGCGGUAAUACGGAAGGUCCGGGCGUUAUCCGGAUUUAUUGGGUUUAAAGGGAGCGUAGGCCGCUG
This 249-nucleotide ribosomal RNA is filed under the name Prevotella sp. P2-180. RNAcentral describes it as "partial 16S ribosomal RNA". It matches the Rfam family "Bacterial small subunit ribosomal RNA", at positions 335 to 581 of the family's 1533-position model. Lineage: Bacteria; Pseudomonadati; Bacteroidota; Bacteroidia; Bacteroidales; Prevotellaceae. The record is from RNAcentral.